AUUCAGAAAGAGGGUGACAGCUGUUAGAGACCUCCCCUCUUCUGUGCAGUCACUUUUAUUGACCUGUGCAGUUCCUUAAGCCCACGGAACUGUUUCGCGUCCUAUGGACCGUGCUCAGUGCCUUCCCGGAAACUGUCGCGUUCUUCCUAUUCCCAAAGGCUCCCAACCUUUCUCAUCUUUCAGCGCCUAACCACGUCAGGUUGCUUCCUAGCUCAGAACCUGCAUCGCAGCCUGACCUCCACCCUACCAUAGCCCCGGCCUUCUGGAAAGGAAAUGACCCUGCAGCCGUCCCCUCCUGGCAUGCAGAGAUGGCUCACCAGCGUGGGGAUUCCUCAUCCUGACCCACAAGGGCCGCAUAAAUGAACUAAAAUUGGCUUUUGACCUCUUCAUCAGUUGCUUACUCAAUGACAACAAAUCUGUACCUUUUUUUGUUUGUAUGCUUAUGUGAGAGUUUCUUGUCCCCGUGCCUGGCUGUCUUCACUGGGGACCCUUGGAGGGGGGCAGGUUGAGUUUCCCUCCCCACCCCGAGCAAAGCCCCCGCAGCCAAAGACCUCCGGAACCCAGCCAUAGCCAUGCUCAAGGCGCCUCUCCACAUAUUUGGACGAGCCUCACGCAUGAAGGAAUCGGCAGAGGAACCCAGGUGUGUGGGACUCAGGGCUGAGACCUCCAAGCUUGCUCAGAUCGGGACUGGGCCUCCUUCACCCAGAUCCCCCAUUUUCUAGUAGCUAGGUGGUCACACCCACAAACUGCCCCCGGCGCUGUGAAAUCUCAUCAAUGGUCACGAUCGAGAGACUAUAAAACAAAGCUGUGGAAGUGCACGGCCGCAUUUGUGGCCAUAUGACCUCUUAUAGCCCAGUUCUCCCUCUUGGAGAACCUGGCAAGGUACCGAGAGCAUCCUGCCCACAUGGCAGAAUCUGGCAAGCUCUCCGUGGCAUAUCUGAUAUGCCAAAUACAGUUACAAUGAUGGGUCUCAUUCCCCUUACCCUGAAAAAACCUCCAAUAUAGCACUGCUGGGAAGAACAAGUAAAGAGAGGCUCCUAAAAUCUCAGGGCUAGGAUGAAUGGAGACAUUACUGGUGCCCGCUCAAGCAAACUGAUGAUCAAUGGAAUGACAGUGACACAGUAAUGCUUGUGUGCUAUUUUGAGGUUUCAAGGAUUAAACCCAGAUCCCAUAUAUGCAAAACAGGAACCUACCCCUGAACAGCACCCUGGCUCCCUACUCCUUCCUUUGACCUAUCUCCAGUUAUUCUGGGCAAAAACGGGCAUUAUUUCCUUGCAGAUUCCUCCUGUCUGUGAACACUGAGUCUUCCCAGUUCCUGGGAGGUGACUGUGAAACACACAGAUAACUGCACUUUAGGUCCGCUUCCUUGUUAUGCCUUUCCUGUCUAUCAAAAAACAAAAAACGGUAAAUUCAGGCCCCCGCCCAAUGCAUUAGCACACUGGCUAUGGGAUUAGGAUGUCGUCCCAGCACCAAGCAUUCUCUCUGGAGCCUUUCACAUGUUUUCAUGAAGAAAAUGGAAAUGCCACCUCUGCACUGGGCCAUGAAGGUUAAGGUAGGAAACUUAGUUAAUCUCUAACUCGAUUUCAUCAUAUGUAAAUGGGAAUGGUAAUAAUGCUAAUUACAUAGUGCUGUGAAAAGAGCACGAUACAAGUUUUUUUUAAAGUGCACAGUGCAUAGGAAAUGAAUAGUCACUAAGUGAAAGAUAAAAAACAAAUGCAAAAAAAUUAAACACGGGAAAUCUCUUUGUGAUUUCAAGAAAGAGAACAUUUCCCUGACGCAUACUCCAAAAUAUAAAAAUCAUCCAGAUGUGAGAAUAUCCAAAAGGAGAACUUCAGAGAUGAACAGAGGGCUCAGAACUGGAGACUUCGACACCAAAGCCCACGGGGCGUCGCCCUUGCACACGCCAAGUGACCAGCCUUCUCUGCACAAGAAAAACCGAAGGCCCGUGGGAAAGUGGAUGCGGCUCAUAAACAGAACUCAGAGAAGUGGAAACCCAGGCGAGCUCUCAAAGCUUACAGAGAGGAUCGGAGCGACAGGACACCAGGUUAAGGCUUGCACACGGCUGAACCGGGUUUGGUCCCCAGCACCACUUAUGGUGCCCUGAGCACUGCCAGGAGUGAGACCUGAGCACCACCUGGCACGAGUCCAAAUUAGAAACAAGGGAAACCUAGGGAAAAAAUAACGAGAAAUCCUUGAGCAGAAACCUCAGAGUCCAGUCGGAAGGGCAUCUGGCCUUGGUUCAAUCCCCAGAAGGACACCAAGGCCCCCAAGCCCUGGUGGGUGCUGUCCUUGAACAGAGUCAGGAAGAAAUCCUGAGCACUGCUGGGUUGGCCCAAAAACAAAACACAAACAAAAAAAAGAGAAUGAGCGAGAAAUAAAAGCUAAUAAUAAAUCAAUAUAUUCAGCAAUUUAUCACAUAGUUAAUAUAAAUAUUCAUGCUUAUUAAUAAUUAAAUCACUGUCACUGUCAUCCCAUUGCUCAUCGAUUUGCUCGAGCGGGCACCAGUAACAUUACCAGAUAAAUCAUCGAUCCCACUGGAUUGGGGAAAACGCAGAGAGGGGAGACGCAGCAGGUGCUGGUGAGGACAUGUGGAACAGGAGCACUGCCAGAGGCUAGGACACAAGCACAGCGGGCUGGGCGCCUGCCUGGCACGCAGAGACCGGGUUUGAUACCCGAGUCCUGCCAAGAGUAAGCGCUGAGCAUGCAAAAGAAUAAAAAUGAAAAGAGUACUGCGAGUGAACGUGACGACAGCAAUGCGGAGGGAAAUGGGUAUGCUUAGACCUCUCCCCGCUGUGUAGCCCAAGAAACAAGGCAUCGUUUUACUCAUCCUCUAGCUGUGUCUGAUGAGAGAGAAACAAAAUAGUCAAGAGCGCCAGGGAGAGAACACAGGGUUAAGGUGCGGUCCAAGGCACCUGCCUCCCCGAAACCCCCAAACAUAACAGUCCAAAGAUCACAGUGAACGAAAGCAGCCCCGAGACUGUACCUGCAAGUCUAUCAUGGGACUCCCGAUGCGCCUCUUCCACCCGGCUGUCCUCAAAAGAGAUGACAAGACGGCCAGUCCCCCCAGCACACCCAGAGCAAUCUAGAGAGAGAAGACAACUGAAGUUAAUGCACUGACCCUCAACAACAGUAACUAGCACUAAAAAUAGAAGAUAAUGGGGCUGGAGAGAAAGCACAGCGGGUAGGGCGUUUGCCUUGCACGCAGCUGACCCAGGUUUAAUUCCCAGCAUCCCAUAUGGUCCCCUGAGCACCUCCAGGAGUAAUUCCUGAGUGCAGAGCCAGGAGUGACCCCUGAGCAUCGCCAGGUGUGACUCAAAAAGCAAAAAAAAAAGAACCAAAUAAACUAAAAAUAGAAGAUAAGACUCAAACUGAAAGCCCCACAGGAGUCGAGCUGAAGAACACCCAGUGCCAAAUCCAGGACAAGUGGAGCAAGAAGAUAAACAGCAGUGACUUGCAAUUACGACAAAAAACUAAAUGUUCCAAGUCCACACUGGUUUAAAUAAGCAGUUGUAAAGAAAUCGUGCAAACAGAAAAUAAUCAUUAGAUAAACAUCACAGCACACCUUUUUUUGUAGGUAAUAAUUACCAAUGAAAGGUAAAAUAUUAGAAGGCAAAACGAGAAGCAGGUAUUUGCAAAAUCUCAGAAUCUCCCCGACACAAUUUUAGAGAUAUGACCAAAGUCACGACAGCAGCAAGACACUGGGACGGGGACGUUCCGAGAAGGUACAGCACCGUGAGGGCCAGGCUCCAUCUGAUCACAGGAAAGCGUCGGCAAGCCCAGUGCAGGGUCAAACAAAACUGACCAGUUAUUUCUGACGUAUAAGAAAUAUUAGGUUAUGGGCCAGAGCAAUAGUACAGCAGGGAGGGCGUUUGCCUUGCACACGGCUGACCCGGGUCUGAUUCCCGGCAUUCCAUAUGGUCCCCUGAGCACCACCAGGAGUUAAUUCCUGAGCUUAGAGCCAGGAGGAACCUCUGAGCAUCGCCGGGUGUGACCCAAAAAAGCAAAUAAA
Sorex araneus (European shrew) is the source of this 4009-nucleotide long non-coding RNA. RefSeq lists it as uncharacterized. NCBI's taxonomy places the organism in Eukaryota, Metazoa, Chordata, Mammalia, Eulipotyphla, Soricidae. The transcript is spliced from 2 exons. The record is from RefSeq and is a predicted model, not a curated record.